RNAcentral lists this ribosomal RNA (400 nucleotides) under uncultured bacterium. RNAcentral's name for it is "bacterial SSU rRNA". It matches the Rfam family "Bacterial small subunit ribosomal RNA", at positions 355 to 747 of the family's 1533-position model. The record is from RNAcentral.
UGGGGAAUAUUGGACAAUGGGCGCAAGCCUGAUCCAGCCAUGCCGCGUGUGUGAAGAAGGCCCUAGGGUUGUAAAGCACUUUCAGUGGGGAGAAAGGCCUUUUACCUAAUACGUAAGAGGAUUGAUGUUACCCACAGAAGAAGCACCGGCUAACUCCGUGCCAGCAGCCGCGGUAAUACGGAGGGUGCAAGCGUUAAUCGGAAUUACUGGGCGUAAAGCGCACGUAGGUGGUUUGUUAAGCCAGCUGUGAAAUCCCCGGGCUCAACCUGGGCACUGCAGUUGGAACUGGCAAGCUAGAGUAGGGUAGAGGGGUGUGGAAUUCCAGGUGUAGCGGUGAAAUGCGUAGAAAUCUGGAGGAACAUCGGUGGCGAAGGCGACACCCUGGACUCAUACUGACACU